This 1025-nucleotide ribosomal RNA is filed under the name Salmonella enterica. Its description in RNAcentral is "partial 23S ribosomal RNA". It matches the Rfam family "Bacterial large subunit ribosomal RNA", at positions 1158 to 2141 of the family's 2925-position model. The record is from RNAcentral. Lineage: Bacteria; Pseudomonadati; Pseudomonadota; Gammaproteobacteria; Enterobacterales; Enterobacteriaceae.
AUCACUUAAAGCGAUUCAGCGGGUUACGAUUGACGGAGCGAAGCGACGUCAAAGCGUAUACAAAGUCGAGUCGGUUUAAGGAUACGUUCGUUGGGUAGGGGAGCGUUCUGUAAGCCUGUGAAGGUGGCCUGUGAGGGUUGCUGGAGGUAUCAGAAGUGCGAAUGCUGACAUAAGUAACGAUAAAGCGGGUGAAAAGCCCGCUCGCCGGAAGACCAAGGGUUCCUGUCCAACGUUAAUCGGGGCAGGGUGAGUCGACCCCUAAGGCGAGGCCGAAAGGCGUAGUCGAUGGGAAACGGGUUAAUAUUCCCGUACUUGGUGUUACUGCGAAGGGGGGACGGAGAAGGCUAUGUUGGCCGGGCGACGGUUGUCCCGGUUUAAGCGUGUAGGUGUGUGUUCCAGGUAAAUCCGGUUCACUUUAACACUGAGGCGUGACGACGAGGCACUACGGUGCUGAAGCAACAAAUGCCCUGCUUCCAGGAAAAGCCUCUAAGCAUCAGGUAACAUCAAAUCGUACCCCAAACCGACACAGGUGGUCAGGUAGAGAAUACCAAGGCGCUUGAGAGAACUCGGGUGAAGGAACUAGGCAAAAUGGUGCCGUAACUUCGGGAGAAGGCACGCUGACACGUAGGUGAAGUGAUUUACUCAUGGAGCUGAAGUCAGUCGAAGAUACCAGCUGGCUGCAACUGUUUAUUAAAAACACAGCACUGUGCAAACACGAAAGUGGACGUAUACGGUGUGACGCCUGCCCGGUGCCGGAAGGUUAAUUGAUGGGGUCAGCGCAAGCGAAGCUCCUGAUCGAAGCCCCGGUAAACGGCGGCCGUAACUAUAACGGUCCUAAGGUAGCGAAAUUCCUUGUCGGGUAAGUUCCGACCUGCACGAAUGGCGUAAUGAUGGCCAGGCUGUCUCCACCCGAGACUCAGUGAAAUUGAACUCGCUGUGAAGAUGCAGUGUACCCGCGGCAAGACGGAAAGACCCCGUGAACCUUUACUAUAGCUUGACACUGAACAUUGAGCCUUGAUGUGUAG